AACGAACGCUGGCGGCAGGUCUUAGGCAUGCAAGUCGAACGGAUGUAGCAAUACAUCAGUGGCGCACGAGUGAGUAACGCGUGGGGAGCUGCCCUUCACUGGGGAAUAACGUUUGGAAACGAACGCUAAUACCGCAUACGCCCGCAAGGGGAAAGAUUUAUCGGUGAAGGAUGCGCCCGCGUUGGAUUAGCUUGUUGGUGGGGUAACGGCCCACCAAGGCGAUGAUCCAUAGCUGGUCUGAGAGGACGAUCAGCCACGCUGGAACUGAGACACGGUUCAGACUCCUACGGGAGGCAGCAGCUAAGAAUAUUGGACAAUGGGGGAAACCCUGAUCCAGCCAUGCCGCGUGAAUGAAGAAGGCCUUCGGGUUGUAAAGUUCUUUUAGUCGUGGAGAUGAUGACAGUAGCGACAGAAGAAGCUCCGGCUAACUUCGUGCCAGCCGCCGCCGUAA
This 451-nucleotide ribosomal RNA is filed under the name uncultured bacterium. RNAcentral describes it as "partial 16S ribosomal RNA". It matches the Rfam family "Bacterial small subunit ribosomal RNA", at positions 29 to 523 of the family's 1533-position model. The record is from RNAcentral.